GUGAUCGAUUCGGCAGCACAUAUACUAAAACUGGACCGACACAGAGAAGAUUAGCAUGGCCCCUGCACAAGAAUGACAUGCAAAUUUGUGAAGUGUUCCGUAUUUUA
Molecule: small nuclear RNA, 107 nt
Organism: Suricata suricatta (meerkat)
Lineage: Eukaryota; Metazoa; Chordata; Mammalia; Carnivora; Herpestidae
Source: Ensembl